AUACGGAGGGUGCGAGCGUUGUUCGGAAUUAUUGGGCGUAAAGAGCAUGUAGGCGGUCUGUUAAGUCUGGUGUGAAAGCCCGGGGCUCAACCCCGGAAGUGCAUUGGAUACUGGCAGACUUGAGUAUGGGAGAGGAAAGCGGAAUUCCGAGUGUAGGAGUGAAAUCCGUAGAUAUUCGGAGGAACACCAGUGGCGAAGGCGGCUUUCUGGACCAAUACUGACGCUGAGAUGCGAAAGCGUGGGGAGCAAACAGGAUUAGAAACCCCAGUAGUCC
Molecule: ribosomal RNA, 274 nt
Filed under: uncultured bacterium
Lineage: Bacteria
Description: partial 16S ribosomal RNA
Rfam family: Bacterial small subunit ribosomal RNA
Source: RNAcentral